Molecule: RNase P RNA, 387 nt
Filed under: Lysinibacillus odysseyi
Lineage: Bacteria; Bacillati; Bacillota; Bacilli; Caryophanales; Bacillaceae
Also listed under: 1 other name
Description: RNase P RNA component class B
Rfam family: Bacterial RNase P class B
About the family: Ribonuclease P (RNase P) is a ubiquitous endoribonuclease, found in archaea, bacteria and eukarya as well as chloroplasts and mitochondria. Its best characterised activity is the generation of mature 5'-ends of tRNAs by cleaving the 5'-leader elements of precursor-tRNAs. Cellular RNase Ps are ribonucleoproteins.
Source: RNAcentral
AAAUUCGAGUAAUCGCUGCAUAGCUUGACUAUGUAGAGGAAAGUCCAUGCUCACACGGAUCUGAGAUGACCGUAGUGUUCGUGCUUACUGAAAAAAUAAGGUAAGGCAAAGCUUAGCUUUGACGGCGGAAGAAAUGCCUAAGUCUUUGGAUAUGGCAUACACUUCCUGAAAGUGCCACAGUGACGAAGCUUGCGGGGAAACCUGCAAGGUGGAACGAGGUAAACCCCACGAGUGAGAAACCCAAAUUAUGGUAGGGGCACUCUCCAAAAGGAAAUGAACGGAUGGAGGGACGCACAAGUUUACUUUUGCGUAGAUAGAUGAUUACUGCCUGGCAGUACGAGGGCAUUGCCCGUUUGAGUACUCAGGAACAAAACAUGGCUUACUGAA